ACCUAUAUGUGAUCAUCCAGGGCAAUCCCCCAACCAUUCGAAGCAAUAGAACGCCUCUGAGGUUUCUCCUAUGGAUGAAUAAGGAAUCGACUGAUCAAAGCAACCAAACAUACAUAUACGAAAAAAAAUUAGGGGCCAUAGCAUAAAAACUGAAUGUUUAUCUUCAAAGUAGCGCAAACAACACAAAUUUUCUAAUGUUAAACUAAGAGUUACAAUAUCUCAAACCACGUGUGAAUCUUGAACUUCACCAUUAAUCUCAAAAUACCACAUAAAAUCUCAAGUAAAGUCAAAACCCUUUCAAUGAAUAAAAAUCAUACAAAAUUCUAAAAUUUAAUGUUGAGAUGAUUAUAGUCGCAAGCUUUAGAAGCAGCAAUCAGGCCUUAAAAAUAAUAAUAAUAUAUAUAUGGUUUCUCUCUACAAAGUUAAGUCAUUUGACUCAUCUGGAGCAUUUUUGCCUCUGAGGUUUCUCCUAUGGAUGAAUAAGGAAUCGACUGAUCAAAGCAACCAAACAUACAUAUACGAGGGGGAAACCCACUUGAGCUCUUCUCGUGUUGUUAUUCCUUAACAAUUACCGACAAGGCAAUAACAAUAACGUGAUCAGAGUCUAACGUUAAAGUUAAGAAUCACCCCGAUCAUGUGUUAUCAAUAGGCAUGCACAGACUGAGACAGUACUGUAGCUUAGAAGCAAUGAUAUGAAAAUUGCUUUGAUACUGGGCAUGUUCAGAAAUGAAAUGAUUAUAUAACAAGGGGCUGGAGUUCUGAGCUGGAGAGGCUUGGCUCUGUCCAAAUUCUUGCAUGGCCUUGUAAAUCAGGUGGCAAUAUUGUGAAGAGGCGAUUUAAAAUUAAAAGACAGCAGAGGAACUCAAGGUCCUCCAACGAAGAAAUGGUCAGGUCGCCUAAAGUACAUGGUGCCAGGGGACUGG
This 923-nucleotide long non-coding RNA is filed under the name Populus trichocarpa (black cottonwood). RNAcentral's name for it is "long non-coding RNA (PTRI_LNC002437)". The record is from RNAcentral. Lineage: Eukaryota; Viridiplantae; Streptophyta; Magnoliopsida; Malpighiales; Salicaceae.